AGGGUGUAAACGCUGCAGACUUGGUGUUGGAGGCCCUUUGGGGGCAUUCAGUGCCGGAGAGAAGUUGUUAAGUCUGCUACUUGGGGAGUACGUCCGCAAGGAUGAAACUUAAAGGAAUUGGCGGGGGAGCACCGCAACGGGAGGAGCGUGCGGUUUAAUUGGAUUCAACACCGUAAAACUCACCAGGGAAGACUGUUACAUGAAGGCCGAGAUGAAGACUCUGCUAGAUUUUUCAGAGAGGAGGUGCAUGGCGUCAGUG
RNAcentral lists this ribosomal RNA (259 nucleotides) under uncultured archaeon. Its description in RNAcentral is "partial 16S ribosomal RNA". It matches the Rfam family "Archaeal small subunit ribosomal RNA", at positions 748 to 1005 of the family's 1478-position model. The record is from RNAcentral.